Molecule: ribosomal RNA, 500 nt
Filed under: uncultured bacterium
Lineage: Bacteria
Description: bacterial SSU rRNA
Rfam family: Bacterial small subunit ribosomal RNA
Source: RNAcentral
UCCUGGCUCAGGAUGAACGCUAGCUACAGGCUUAACACAUGCAAGUCGAGGGGCAGCGGAUUGAAGCUUGCUUCAAUUGCCGGCGACCGGNGCACGGGUGAGUAACGCGUAUCCAACCUUCCGUACACUCAGGGAUAGCCUUUCGAAAGAAAGAUUAAUACCUGAUGGUAUGAUGAGAUUGCAUGAUAGCAUCAUUAAAGAUUUAUCGGUGUACGAUGGGGAUGCGUUCCAUUAGGUAGUAGGCGGGGUAACGGCCCACCUAGCCAACGAUGGAUAGGGGUUCUGAGAGGAAGGUCCCCCACAUUGGAACUGAGACACGGUCCAAACUCCUACGGGAGGCAGCAGUGAGGAAUAUUGGUCAAUGGACGAGAGUCUGAACCAGCCAAGUAGCGUGAAGGAUGAAGGUCCUACGGAUUGUAAACUUCUUUUAUAAGGGAAUAAACCCUCCCACGUGUGGGAGCUUGUAUGUACCUUAUGAAUAAGCAUCGGCUAACUCCGUG